Molecule: long non-coding RNA, 275 nt
Organism: Silurus meridionalis
Lineage: Eukaryota; Metazoa; Chordata; Actinopteri; Siluriformes; Siluridae
Exons: 2
Source: RefSeq, a predicted model, not a curated record
GAGAUCGUGCCGCGGCUGGCUUUCAUCAUGACGUUUUCUCUCUUCUGGUUUCUCAGGUGGAGCUCAGGAGUGAUGAGAAGGUCCUGAGAUGAACACAGAGCAGAUUUUCACCAGUCAUUUAAAAGACAGUUUUUUUCUGUUUAUCAUUUGUGUAUUUAAUUUUACACUCAUUAAAGUCACAUCGUUUUCUGUUCUGUAUAUAUUUGAUUACUCACACACCACUGGCCCAAAUGAUGUCUAUAAACAAAUAAAUAGAUUUUUGGUCAAUUUUUUAA